This is a long non-coding RNA of Andrographis paniculata, 390 nucleotides long. RefSeq lists it as uncharacterized. The record is from RefSeq and is a predicted model, not a curated record. The transcript has 2 exons. Lineage: Eukaryota; Viridiplantae; Streptophyta; Magnoliopsida; Lamiales; Acanthaceae.
CAGAAUUCCCACAAUUUCUCGCGUCUAGGGUUUAGUUUAAAAGCCGUUUUUUCAAUUCAAUUUCGUUUUGAUUUCAGUGAGGCAAAUCUCAAUUUGGGAACUAGAAGCGUGGUGUGGAAGAACGAGAGUGAUAAUGGCGGCCUCGAGCCUCUGGAUUUAUUUGUCGAGACUGGUGUGGAUGAAAGAUCCGCGGAGGAUACGGUCGCCAACGCUAAGUGUCGAAGGCGUAAACUGGAAUCGCCAAGGUUAACCCUAUCGGCAUUCAAGUCAUUCACUUUCUUGAAGAUAUGGAAGAAUUCUUGAUGUGAUAGCGCCAUUUUUAAGGUACACAUACUCUGUGAUUCGAUAUAAUUAGGAUUGGAAAUGUUCAUUGAUUUUUUCUCCAUUGCA